Molecule: ribosomal RNA, 460 nt
Filed under: uncultured bacterium
Lineage: Bacteria
Description: partial 16S ribosomal RNA
Rfam family: Bacterial small subunit ribosomal RNA
Source: RNAcentral
CCUACGGGUGGCAGCAGUGAGGAAUAUUGGUCAAUGGGCGCAAGCCUGAACCAGCCAAGUCGCGUGAGGGAUGACGGUCCUAUGGAUUGUAAACCUCUUUUGUCGGGGAGCAAGGCCCGCCACGUGUGGCGGGAAGGAGAGUACCCGAAGAAAAAGCAUCGGCUAACUCCGUGCCAGCAGCCGCGGUAAUACGGAGGAUGCGAGCGUUAUCCGGAUUUAUUGGGUUUAAAGGGUGCGUAGGCGGGCCUUCAGGCCGGCGGUAAAAUUGCGGGGCUCAACCCCGCCGAGCCGUCGGAACCGGGGGCCUUGAGUACCGGAGAAGUACGCGGAAUGCGUGGUGUAGCGGUGAAAUGCAUAGAUAUCACGCAGAACCCCGAUUGCGAAGGCAGCGUACCGGCCGGUCACUGACGCUGAGGCACGAAAGCGCGGGUAUCGAACAGGAUUAGAUACCCGAGUAGUC